UCGGGUACCACCGGCCGGCGUUAUCUAACUGUACCAACAAAUAAAACGAAAACGGAACCACUAAUAGGAGCUGCCUUCGCCGAUUUUAAAAACCACGCGAGUCUGCUGCUGACUGAGUGCAACAUAGUCAAUAUCUUGAUCGUGAAAAACAGUUACAUGCUAAUAGAAUGAACAUUCGCAAUGUCGCAGAAGCAGCCAUAAAUUCUAUCAAGAGCACGCUCACUUUAGGAAGAUUGCGGCGGAGAUUUAAAGAGACUGGUGAUUUGAGAGAAGGACAAACUGGUCUAACAGAAGCUAUCGGGUUUUUAACAGCAAACAAAUACCGAGAUCUAAUUCUGGAACCCAUUACUCCUCACGACCGUAUGUUGCAAGAACCUCUACUGUCCUCUAGAAACUUUUUGGAGUAUAGCUUGAUAUUCAAGUACAACCUUGGCCUGCGUAAUCUCCCGACUUAAAUCCUAUCGAGCACGCUCGCGAUAUGUUGAAAAGAAGGUGUGUUUUAAAUAAAUAGAGUUUCAGACAAGUGAAAAGUUGCUAAGCUGUAUGCAAGAUUAAUUAAUGACAUUUAAUUAGGACCAUGCCAAACAGAUAUCGAGUAGUCAUCAAAGAUUUGUUUAUAUUUCAUUUCUUUAA
Anthonomus grandis grandis is the source of this 633-nucleotide long non-coding RNA. RefSeq lists it as uncharacterized. The transcript is spliced from 3 exons. The record is from RefSeq and is a predicted model, not a curated record. NCBI's taxonomy places the organism in Eukaryota, Metazoa, Arthropoda, Insecta, Coleoptera, Curculionidae.